AGUUCUGCGCGUUCACGUCCCCGAUCGGGCCGUGUCCGCCGCGGCCCUGCGAGGUCCGAGGGGCAAUAGCCCUCUGGAACAAGACAAUUCAUGUGAGAUAAGAAAGAAGAGCCCACAAGACCAAGGAUGUAUUCUCAGUUUACAGACCACUGACCAGAGGCCACUCCAGGGUGUCAGGACUAAGAGAAGUCACAAAACAGCAGAUUUCCCAAGAGCAGCGGAAAAUGAUCCAGUCACAGGUUGCGACCUUUCCUUCCCCAGCAAUAAACUGGUCUCUGGAGAUCACUGUAGAAUUGUAGUGGAUGAAAAAUCAGGUCAGGUGACACUGGAAGAUACCAGCACCAGUGGAACAGUGAUUAACAAGCUGAAGGUUGUUAAGAAGCAGACAUGCCCUUUACAGACUGGGGAUGUCAUCUACUUGGUGUACAGGAAGAAUGAACCGGAACACAACGUGGCAUACCUCUAUGAAUCUUUAAGUGAAAAGCAAGGCAUGACACAAGAAUCCUUUGAUACCUCAGGUGCAGGUGCAGGGCGAGGGGCCGAUCCCCGGGUCCCUCCGUCGUCGCCCGCCACUCAGGUGUGCU
Molecule: long non-coding RNA, 584 nt
Filed under: Homo sapiens (human)
Lineage: Eukaryota; Metazoa; Chordata; Mammalia; Primates; Hominidae
Description: non-protein coding lnc-CHFR-2:1
Source: RNAcentral